CGAUCGUUCUUUUGCAUCAAAGAUUAACACAUGCAUGUGUCAGAUUAAAAGACUUAAUCUUGAAUCUGCGAAUGGCUCAUUAUAUCAGUCAUAGUUUACACGGUAAUGAAAAGCUACACGGAUAACUGUGGCAAUUCUAGAGCUAAUACGUGCGUCGAGGCGUCUUUCCUCUCGGGGGAGGGCGUCGUAUUUAUUAGCCUCAAAACCGACUCCGCUCGCAAGGGCGGGUUUUUGGUGAAUCAUGAUAACUGAAGCGAACCGGUGCGCCUUUACGGCGGCGGUGAACCGUUCAAGUUUUUGCCCUAUCAGCUUUCGAUGGUCGGGUAUUGGCCUACCAUGGCGUUGACGGGUGACGGAGAAUUAGGGUUCGAUUCCGGAGAGGGAGCCUUAGAGACGGCUC
RNAcentral lists this ribosomal RNA (400 nucleotides) under uncultured stramenopile. RNAcentral's name for it is "bacterial SSU rRNA". It matches the Rfam family "Eukaryotic small subunit ribosomal RNA", at positions 32 to 409 of the family's 1831-position model. The record is from RNAcentral.